Molecule: ribosomal RNA, 497 nt
Filed under: uncultured bacterium
Lineage: Bacteria
Description: partial 16S ribosomal RNA
Rfam family: Bacterial small subunit ribosomal RNA
Source: RNAcentral
GAUGAACGCUGGCGGCGUGCCUAAUACAUGCAAGUCGAGCGAACAGACGAGGAGCUUGCUCCUCUGACGUUAGCGGCGGACGGGGGAGUAACACGUGGAUAACCGACCUAUAAGACUGGGAUAACGUCGGGAAACCGGAGCUAAUACCGGAUAAUAUAUUGAACCGCAUGGUUCAAUAUGGAAAGACGGUUUUGCUGUCUCUUAUAGAUGGAUCCUCGCCGCAUUAGCUAGUUGGUAAGGUAACGGCUUACCAAGGCAACGAUGCGUAGCCGACCUGAGAGGGUGAUCGGCCACACUGGAACUGAGACACGGUCCAGACUCCUACGGGAGGCAGCAGUAGGGAAUCUUCCGCAAUGGGCGAAAGCCUGACGGAGCAACGCCGCGUGAGUGAUGAAGGUCUUCGGAUCGUAAAACUCUGUUAUUAGGGAAGAACAAAUGUGUAAGUAACUAUGCACGUCUUGACGGUACCUAAUCAGAAAGCCACGGCUAACUACGUG